GAUUGAACGCUGGCGGCAGGCCUAACACAUGCAAGUCGAGCGGUAGAGAGAAGCUUGCUUCUCUUGAGAGCGGCGGACGGGUGAGUAAUGCCUAGGAAUCUGCCUAGUGGUGGGGGAUAACGUUCGGAAACGGACGCUAAUACCGCAUACGUCCUACGGGAGAAAGCGGGGGACCUUCGGGCCUCGCGCCAUUAGAUGAGCCUAGGUCGGAUUAGCUAGUUGGUGAGGUAAUGGCUCACCAAGGCUACGAUCCGUAACUGGUCUGAGAGGAUGAUCAGUCACACUGGAACUGAGACACGGUCCAGACUCCUACGGGAGGCAGCAGUGGGGAAUAUUGGACAAUGGGCGAAAGCCUGAUCCAGCCAUGCCGCGUGUGUGAAGAAGGUCUUCGGAUUGUAAAGCACUUUAAGUUGGGAGGAAGGGUGGUAACUUAAUACGUUGCUACUUUGACGUUACCGACAGAAUAAGCASC
RNAcentral lists this ribosomal RNA (472 nucleotides) under Pseudomonas sp. SC2. Its description in RNAcentral is "bacterial SSU rRNA". It matches the Rfam family "Bacterial small subunit ribosomal RNA", at positions 27 to 494 of the family's 1533-position model. The record is from RNAcentral. Lineage: Bacteria; Pseudomonadati; Pseudomonadota; Gammaproteobacteria; Pseudomonadales; Pseudomonadaceae.